Pongo pygmaeus (Bornean orangutan) is the source of this 533-nucleotide long non-coding RNA. RefSeq lists it as uncharacterized. The record is from RefSeq and is a predicted model, not a curated record. The transcript has 3 exons. Lineage: Eukaryota; Metazoa; Chordata; Mammalia; Primates; Hominidae.
UAGGUACUACCAUGGCAAGAGGGCUCUACAGCUUCUCAUCACUCACUUGGAAGAGGAUGAUGAGUGGGACAUCAUCAGGUAUUAUAAUGUCAUGUCUGAGGAGGAAAUCAAAAGGAUGAAGGAGAUUGUGAAGCUCAAAGUCUAUCAUUUUUGCUUCAUGUAUUUUGAAACUCUUGGUUAGAGACAGGGUCUUGCUGUGUUGUCCAGACUGGUGUUGAACUCCUGGUUUCAAGUGAUCCUCCCACCUGGGAUUACAGGCAUGAGCCACCAUGCCCAAUCAUCUCUCUGAGCUUCUUGGAUCUGUAGUUUGUAUCUUUCAUUAUUUUCUGAAGAUUCUUGGCUAAUUUCUCUUUAAAUAUUUCUUAUUUAAAAAAUAUCUGCUUCAAAUACCUAAUAUAGAUGACGGGUUGAUGGGUGCAGCAAACCAUCAUGGCACAUGUAUACCUAUGUAACAAACCUGCACGUUCUGUGCAUGUAUCCCAGAACUUAAAGUAUAAUAAAAAAAAAUUUAAAAAAGAAAAAUUAAAAUAAAA